RNAcentral lists this ribosomal RNA (494 nucleotides) under uncultured bacterium. RNAcentral's name for it is "partial 16S ribosomal RNA". It matches the Rfam family "Bacterial small subunit ribosomal RNA", at positions 28 to 507 of the family's 1533-position model. The record is from RNAcentral.
GACGAACGCUGGCGGCGUGCUUAACACAUGCAAGUCGAACGGAAAGGCCUGCUUUCCCUUGUGGAUUGCGGGUACUCGAGUGGCGAACGGGUGAGUAACACGUGAGUGAUCUGCCCCCAACUUGGGUAUAAGCCUGGGAAACUGGGUCUAAUUCCCGAUAGGACUGCAGGGUGGUGCCUGUGGUGGAAAACGAUUUUCUAGUGGUUGGGGAUGAGCUCGCGGCCUAUCAGCUUGUUGGUGGGGUAAUGGCCUACCAAGGCGGCGACGGGUAGCCGGCCUGAGAGGGUGGACGGCCACAUUGGGACUGAGAUACGGCCCAGACUCCUACGGGAGGCAGCAGUGGGGAAUAUUGCACUAUGGGCGGAAGCCUGAUGCAGCGACGCCGCGUGGGGGAUGACGGCCUUCGGGUUGUAAACUCCUUUCGACCGCGAGGAAGCCACCUGGUUGGAGGGGUGGUGACGGUAGUGGUAGAAGAAGCACCGGCUAACUACGUG